CAGAAGAAUGGCCAGUAACCGGCAAAGAUCACUCAGAGGACCCAGUCACCCACCUCAUAUGGAAGAACCUUUCCUGCAGAUGGUCCAGGCCAGCAAGCCCCUCCCACCCUCCCAAACGUGGGCUCAGCGUGAGUUCUUCCCCCUCAGUGAGUCCUGGGAGUUCCCCGGCUUCACCCCGCAAGCCUACCACCAGCUGGCCCUGAAGCUGCCGCCCUGCACAGACAUGAAGUCCAAGGUGCGUCAGCGGCUCAUCCAUCCUUGGAAAGGUGGCGCCCAGCACACCUGGGGCUUUCACACGUGGCUCGAUGUGUGCCGUCUGCCUGCCACCUUCCCCACUCGGCCUGACAGGCCCUACGACAGCAAUGUCUGGCGCUGGCUGACAGACUCCAAUGCCCACAGACGCCCCCCCACGGAGCACCCCAUCCCCCCUCCCUCCUGGAUGGGGCAAAACAGCUUCCUGACCUUCAUCCACUGUUAUCCCACGUUUGUGGACAUGAAAAGGAAGAAGCAGGUGAUUUUCAGGACAGUGAAGGAGUUGAAGGAGGUGGAGAAGCUCAAGUUGAGGAGUGAGGCAAGAGCACCUCCACUCGAUGCCCAGGGCAACAUUCAGCCACCAGCGAGCUUCAAGAAGUAAGAUGGCGCCUCCUCAGGGAGCCCACCCAGCCUGCCCUUCCCUGCCCUGCCCAGGUACCGGCAUGUAUCCGCUGGUGGGAGGUUCGAACCCCACGGCCUCCAGCUCACGCCCAACCCACUUCCCAACAAUUUCGCCAGGAGCUGGCCCUGCCCGAACCCUCUGCCUCACUACCAGGAGAAGGUGCUAAAGCUGGUCUUGCUGCCCAGUGCGCCCCUGAGCCAGGACCUCAUAAGGGAUUUCCAAACCCUGAUAAAGGACAGAACUGCCUCACCCCUCCACCAUCUGUCCAAGGCACAAGCAAGCAAAACUCCAGCAAGGAAGAGGAAGAGAAGACCUGGGCACUCCUAGAAGGGCUUCUGGAUGGGUGGGGACGAUCGUGGCACCCAGAGUCCCAGGCUCCAGUGUUCUCAAUCAAUGCUCCUUCAGCAAGAGGCCCUGCGGUAGCAAAAGGACUCUGGCAUCCGCAGAACAGCCUCUCCACCAUCCUCCCAGCCUCAAGCCACCUCUGUACCCCAGGCUAUUGGAGACUCAACUGAA
Molecule: RNA transcript, 1171 nt
Organism: Piliocolobus tephrosceles (Ugandan red Colobus)
Lineage: Eukaryota; Metazoa; Chordata; Mammalia; Primates; Cercopithecidae
Gene: TEX52
Gene name: testis expressed 52
Exons: 3
Source: RefSeq, a predicted model, not a curated record